RNAcentral lists this ribosomal RNA (253 nucleotides) under uncultured bacterium. Its description in RNAcentral is "partial 16S ribosomal RNA". It matches the Rfam family "Bacterial small subunit ribosomal RNA", at positions 524 to 776 of the family's 1533-position model. The record is from RNAcentral.
UACGUAGGGUGCGAGCGUUGUCCGGAAUUAUUGGGCGUAAAGGGCUCGUAGGCGGUUUGUCGCGUCGGGAGUGAAAUCCACUGGCUUAACUGGUGGCUUGCUUUCGAUACGGGCAGACUGGAGGUAUGCAGGGGAGAACGGAAUUCCUGGCGUAGCGGUGAAAUGCGCAGAUAUCAGGAGGAACACCGAUGGCGAAGGCAGGUCUCUGGGCAUUAACUGACGCUGAGGAGCGAAAGCAUGGGGAGCGAACAGG